GACAUUAUUAUCUAACGGAGAGCCUAGUGCGAGGUGGAGCUUCAGGAGCCAGGUGGAGCUCAAAGUGAGGUGGAGCUCUAGGUGGAGGUGGAUUGGGCAUGAGACAAGAGACUCGGGAGGAUGAGAAGUGACAUCGCAAGAUGAGAUUCUUAUUACUGCAGGAUGAUGCUCCGAGUAGGUUUCAGGUCAAGAAAAGAACAGCAUACGACAG
RNAcentral lists this long non-coding RNA (211 nucleotides) under Elaeis guineensis (African oil palm). Its description in RNAcentral is "long non-coding RNA (EGUI_LNC025178)". Lineage: Eukaryota; Viridiplantae; Streptophyta; Magnoliopsida; Arecales; Arecaceae. The record is from RNAcentral.